This 661-nucleotide ribosomal RNA is filed under the name Bifurcohaptor giganticus. RNAcentral describes it as "partial 28S ribosomal RNA". It matches the Rfam family "Eukaryotic large subunit ribosomal RNA", at positions 1 to 625 of the family's 3401-position model. The record is from RNAcentral. Lineage: Eukaryota; Metazoa; Platyhelminthes; Monogenea; Dactylogyridea; Ancylodiscoididae.
AGAAAGAGACUACCUAGUUCUCCUAUAACAUCUCUUAACAUAAUAGCCCGCACCGAACCUAUCCGCAAUCUCAACAUGCAACGCAUGUACAAGUAUUAUUCCAGACGGCUAGUCUACUCGAAGUCCAACUCCGAUUACUGCUUUGGAUAUUUUUCCUCAGAUGGAGAAAGACCCGUUCGUGUAGACCACCAUUGCUCGGCACGUCUUUGAUAUUGAUACUUAAGAGUCGGAUUGCUUGAGAAUGCAGUCCAAAGACGGGUGGUAAACUCCAUCCAAGGCUAAAUACUGGCACGAGUCCGAUAGUAGACAAGUACCGUGAGGGAAAGUUGAAAAGUACUCUGAAGAGAGCGUUCUUUGCUCUCCGCUCGGCACUUUGGUGCUUAGCAUUCCUGACCUCGGAUCCUACGUGAAUACCCGCUGAACUUAUUUUUAUCACUAUUCGGAGGACAACAAUCUAUUUUUUUUGUGGAGAGGGGGGCACCCCCCCAGGUUUUUACGGGGGUUUUUCCCUUUAGGAAGAAAGAUCAAAAGGGGGAUGGGGGGGGGACUCUAAACACAUCUUUUUGUAAUUUUUUUGUUACACCAUUAUUCUGUCACUUGUUAGUUGUGGUGGUGGUGUGGCAAUACACUUCCGCUUUUUUAUGUAGUAAUCUGGGACAUU